This 350-nucleotide RNase P RNA is filed under the name Bacillota bacterium. Its description in RNAcentral is "Firmicutes bacterium (anaerobic digester metagenome) RNase P RNA component class A". It matches the Rfam family "Bacterial RNase P class A". Rfam says of the family: Ribonuclease P (RNase P) is a ubiquitous endoribonuclease, found in archaea, bacteria and eukarya as well as chloroplasts and mitochondria. The record is from RNAcentral. Lineage: Bacteria; Bacillati; Bacillota.
UGAGCAAGCUGGGCAGCCGCGACUUUUUUAAGUUGAGGAAAGUCCGGGCUCCGCAGGGCAGGGUGCUGGAAAACGUCCAGUGAGGGCGACCUCAAGGAAAGUGCCACAGAAAACAAACCGCCUUUUUUUAAAGGUAAGGAUGAAACGGUGCGGUAAGAGCGCACCAGCAGCCUGGCGACUGGCUGGCUUGGUAAACCCCACCCGGAGCAAGACCAAAUAGGAGGGAUUAAGGAUGGCCCGUCCGCCCCUCGGGUAUGGUCGCUGGAGGUGCCAGGCAACUGGCAUCGUAGAUAGAUGGCUGCCACUCCUGCACAGGAGUACAGAACCCGGCUUACACGCUUGCUCGGCUU